RNAcentral lists this ribosomal RNA (384 nucleotides) under Triticum aestivum (bread wheat). RNAcentral's name for it is "partial small subunit ribosomal RNA". Lineage: Eukaryota; Viridiplantae; Streptophyta; Magnoliopsida; Poales; Poaceae. The record is from RNAcentral.
AUGCCUUUAAAGAUACAAUUCUUUAUGUGGUUUAUUCACAAGAAAGUGAUCUUUACUAAGGAUAACCUGGUAAAAUGUAGUUCGGAGGAUAGUAAAUGGUGUUGUUUCUGUGAUCAAGACGAAUCGAUCCAACAUCUUUUUCUCAAAUGCCCCGUAGCCAAGCUACUGUGGCGCAUAGUGCAUCUGGCCUUUAAUGUCAAUCCUCCUAAUAUCAUGGCCACUUUAUUUGGGACUUGGCUAAACGGGGUAGAGCCUAAAAUAGUUGCGCAUAUUCGAGUCGGAGCGUGCACAUUUCUUUGGACCAUACGGAACUGUCGGAAUGACGUGAUAUUUAACAGACAAAAUAUCACCAAUUUUUUUGCCGGUCAUCUACAGAGCAACUAG